This 503-nucleotide ribosomal RNA is filed under the name uncultured bacterium. Its description in RNAcentral is "partial 16S ribosomal RNA". It matches the Rfam family "Bacterial small subunit ribosomal RNA", at positions 30 to 523 of the family's 1533-position model. The record is from RNAcentral.
AUUGAACGCUGGCGGCAGGCUUAACACAUGCAAGUCGAGCGGGGUGAUGGUGCUUGCACUAUCACUUAGCGGCGGACGGGUGAGUAAUGCUUAGGAAUCUGCCUAUUAGUGGGGGACAACAUCUCGAAAGGGAUGCUAACACCGCAUACGUCCUACGGGAGAAAGCAGGGGAUCACUUGUGACCUUGCGCUAAUAGAUGAGCCUAAGUCGGAUUAGCUAGUUGGUGGGGUAAAGGCCUACCAAGGCGACGAUCUGUAGUGGGUCUGAGAGGAUGAUCCGCCACACUGGGACUGAGACACGGCCCAGACUCCUACGGGAGGCAGCAGUGGGGAAUAUUGGACAAUGGGGGGAACCCUGAUCCAGCCAUGCCGCGUGUGUGAAGAAGGCCUUAUGGUUGUAAAGCACUUUAAGCGAGGAGGAGGCUCUUUUGGUUAAUACACAAGAUGAGUGGACGUUACUCGCAGAAUAAGCACCGGCUAACUCUGUGCCAGCAGCCGCAGUAA